GAGUUUGAUCCUGGCUCAGAUUGAACGCUGGCGGCAUGCCUUACACAUGCAAGUCGAACGGCAGCACGGGAGCUUGCUCCUGGUGGCGAGUGGCGAACGGGUGAGUAAUGCAUCGGAACGUAUCCUGGAGUGGGGGAUAACGUAGCGAAAGUUACGCUAAUACCGCAUAUUCUGUGAGCAGGAAAGCGGGGGACCUUCGGGCCUCGCGCUCUUGGAGCGGCCGAUGUCGGAUUAGCUAGUUGGUGAGGUAAAGGCUCACCAUGGCGACGAUCCGUAGCAGGUCUGAGAGGAUGAUCUGCCACACUGGAACUGAGACACGGUCCAGACUCCUACGGAGGCAGCAGUGGGGAAUUUUGGACAAUGGGGGCAACCCUGAUCCAGCCAUGCCGCGUGAGUGAAGAAGGCCU
Molecule: ribosomal RNA, 407 nt
Filed under: bacterium enrichment culture clone ALO1_GLFRUDD03GI5ZS
Lineage: Bacteria
Description: bacterial SSU rRNA
Rfam family: Bacterial small subunit ribosomal RNA
Source: RNAcentral